Molecule: ribosomal RNA, 253 nt
Filed under: uncultured bacterium
Lineage: Bacteria
Description: partial 16S ribosomal RNA
Rfam family: Bacterial small subunit ribosomal RNA
Source: RNAcentral
UACGAAGGGGGCUAGCGUUGUUCGGAAUUACUGGGCGUAAAGCGCGUGUAGGCGGGUCCUUAAGUCAGGGGUGAAAUGCCAAGGCUCAACCUUGGAACUGCCUUUGAUACUGGGGAUCUUGAGUCCGGGAGAGGUGAGUGGAACUGCGGGUGUAGAGGUGAAAUUCGUAGAUAUUCGCAAGAACACCAGUGGCGAAGGCGGCUAUCUGGACGGUUUCUGACACUAAGACUCGAAAGCGUGGGGAGCAAACAGG